AACGAACGCUGGCGGCAUGCCUAACACAUGCAAGUCGAACGAGACCUUCGGGUCUAGUGGCGCACGGGUGCGUAACGCGUGGGAACCUGCCCUUAGGUUCGGAAUAACUCCCCGAAAGGGGUGCUAAUACCGGAUAAUGUCUUCGGACCAAAGAUUUAUCGCCUUUGGAUGGGCCCGCGUUGGAUUAGCUAGUUGGUAGGGUAAAAGCCUACCAAGGCGACGAUCCAUAGCUGGUCUGAGAGGAUGAUCAGCCACACUGGGACUGAGACACGGCCCAGACUCCUACGGGAGGCAGCAGUGGGGAGUAUUGGACAAUGGGCGAAAGCCUGAUCCAGCAAUGCCGGGUGAGUGAUGAAGGCCUUAGGGUUGUAAAGCUCUUUUACCCGGGAUGAUAAUGACAGUACCGGGAGAAUAAGCUCCGGCUAACUACGUG
RNAcentral lists this ribosomal RNA (433 nucleotides) under uncultured bacterium. RNAcentral describes it as "partial 16S ribosomal RNA". It matches the Rfam family "Bacterial small subunit ribosomal RNA", at positions 29 to 507 of the family's 1533-position model. The record is from RNAcentral.